AACGAACGCUGGCGGCAUGCCUAACACAUGCAAGUCGAACGAGACCUUCGGGUCUAGUGGCGCACGGGUGCGUAACGCGUGGGAACCUGCCCUUAGGUUCGGAAUAACUCCCCGAAAGGGGUGCUAAUACCACAUAAUGUCUUCGGACCAAAGAUUUAUCGCCUUUGGAUGGGCCCGCGUUGGAUUAGCUAGUUGGUAGGGUAAAAGCCUACCAAGGCGACGAUCCAUAGCUGGUCUGAGAGGAUGAUCAGCCACACUGGGACUGAGACACGGCCCAGACUCCUACGGGAGGCAGCAGUGGGGAAUAUUGGACAAUGGGCGAAAGCCUGAUCCAGCAAGGCCGCGUGAGUGAUGAAGGCCUUAGGGUUGUAAAGCUCUUUUACCCGGGAUGAUAAUGACAGUACCGGGAGAAUAAGCGCCGGCUAACUCCGUG
RNAcentral lists this ribosomal RNA (433 nucleotides) under uncultured bacterium. Its description in RNAcentral is "partial 16S ribosomal RNA". It matches the Rfam family "Bacterial small subunit ribosomal RNA", at positions 29 to 507 of the family's 1533-position model. The record is from RNAcentral.